RNAcentral lists this long non-coding RNA (1985 nucleotides) under Sorghum bicolor (sorghum). RNAcentral describes it as "long non-coding RNA (SBIC_LNC012560)". The record is from RNAcentral. Lineage: Eukaryota; Viridiplantae; Streptophyta; Magnoliopsida; Poales; Poaceae.
ACACUUAACUAGUUCCACAAAGCUUUGUUGUCUAUUUGAGCUCCACAGAAUUCAAGGAUCAAAGAAGACUAGCAGACAGAGGACAUCCUAAUCGCUGUCAGAGUGCUGCCGACAUUCAAAUACACCUCCGCCACCUGCUAGCUACAUCAGAAGAAAUUACGUCAAAAUCCAGCUUGGGGGAGAGCACUCCCAUUUAUCCAGCUAAGUGUUCUACUCACGUUUAUACUUUACUCAAAUAAUAAAAGGAUGCAUAAUCAUAAAAACCCAAAUAAAGAUUUUUUGCUUAUAUAUAUCUUUGCUUAGUUUGCUAAAUAAAUAAAGUUUUCUAUGAACCCUCAUGAUAAGCUCUCACAUGGAAAUGAUGAAUAGUUGCUCUGCCAUGACUAAAUUCUCAAAAUUGAAAUCUCUCUCAAGUUUAGGCCUCACUGUUAUUAAUUAAGAUUUGCUCUAAACCUGAACUUGUGGGAAGAGUACUUGAUCUAAAGUCUAAGUCGUUAACGGAUAUGAUAUGGGAAGGUUGAGCUAUUGUUUAUCUGUUCAUAGAGAUGCUAGAAUUCUGGAGAAUUUUGUCUUUGAAAUUCUUUAAAAUGUUGCAUGAUGAGUUCCUAUAUGAUGAGAGUUUAAAUUCCUACCACAGCCAUAUAUACAAACUUGCUAAAAUUUGAGCCACACAUUUACUUUUUACUACUUAUGAGCAUUGAGUGUGGUCAAGCUGUGUAGACCCUUAGGAGCUUGUCAUGUGGUUAAAAUCAAGAUUCACUUGCACGUUCACUCAUACAUGCUGCAUCUACUCCGGAAGUACGUCGACCCAUUUCCAUCUCCAGAACCACCCAAAAAUAUUCUACUCCUAAUCAGGGAGAGAAUAGCCAAAAACAUUUCUAUUUUCCCUUAUGAAAUAAAUGCUCUAGUUAUCUUGGUUACUACCACUUACUACAUUAUUUCAAGAGAUGAGUGAUCUAAAAAAGAAAAAAAAAAGAGAAAGAAUACGAGGAAAUAAAAAGGGGCAAGUGCUUGGAACCUCGAAAGAAAAAAAAAAGUGAGACGAGUGGUAAAAAUGGACAAGUGUCCGACAGUAGAAUUAGGGGUACAAGAUACCCACCUGAGAGGAAAGAAAAAAAAGAAAAUAUAGAGCAUCUCAUUUCCCUCAAAAAGUUUCAAAAGAGCAAGAAAGGUAUGUAUCCCCUCAAAAGAGCACAAGUAGAAUUAGACUUUCACCAUUGUUAUCACCAUCAUCACCAUACACCAUUCAUUCGCCACACAUGCACAUCUUGAUUUGACUUAUUGACUUGUUCUUUUGGAUCCAUGGUUUGACCAUGCAAUAAAUGUCUUGUAAGUAUGUAUUAGCUGUCUCCCACUUAUGAGCUCUAGAUAUCAAAACCUUAUUAGAGUAGGGUGAGAGAGAAGGCAAUGUCACUAUGCCUUAUACCACAAAUACCACAUAUUUUGAGAGAAGGCAUACACCAUUACUGCCUUGGUAAGGAUCUAGAAAUACCACAAAAGAGAGACUAGAGAGAGUCAUACAAGGAAUCUCUGAGUUUUAUUUGAAAAUCUGCAAAAACUCUAGAGCUAUAGCUGAUCAAGAAUAAGAGACAUGGCACUUGACUAGACUGUUCUAUCUUUUAACUACUCAAGACACAAGUGACGGUUGCAAGCCCCAUGGUGGAAGGUAAAAUGAGUAAGUUUAAAUCUUAACAGUUUACCCUAGCCUGGAGAUGAGAUCUUGUUUGAACACAUGUGUACCUUUAGGGCAUGAAACCACUGCAGAAACUCUUGAGUCCAUCUUUGCUCAGGGAUGAGCAAAGGUUAAGCUUGGGCGAGCUUGUUGACGGUCCUUAAUGCUCACAUUUAACCGUCAACUAAUCAUGGAAAAGGAUCUAAAUGCAACUAACACCUAGACUUAGGGUUUUAUCUGACAGAAUUCUACGAGUUUUGGUGUUUGUCUAUUUCUGCAGGGGGUUAUGAGGAAAUACAGAAGAAAGGCCCAC